Molecule: non-coding RNA, 184 nt
Filed under: Clostridia bacterium
Lineage: Bacteria; Bacillati; Bacillota; Clostridia
Description: 6S RNA
Rfam family: 6S / SsrS RNA
About the family: E. coli 6S RNA was the first non coding RNA to be sequenced, but its function was unknown until recently. It consists of 184 nucleotides that fold into an extended hairpin structure with a large single-stranded internal bulge.
Source: RNAcentral
AUUUUCCUGCUGUGUUCGAUAAAUGCGACUAAUACUAACCCUAUGACAAUUAAAAGGGAGCCCGACUUCCGCGGCGGAUUGCAGACCUCCCGUUUUACGGACGAAGGGAGCGUGAACCCGUAGAGAGGGCACCCACCUGCUGAAAGCAGGUUACUAUUAUCGCAUCCGGCACGGCGGGACAACU